UCCACCAUCGAUGAGGCUCCGUCGUCAUCUCCUCCUUUUCUCCCUUCUGUGUCUUCAGAUCUCUCUCACACUUCUCUCCACCUUAGGCUCCCCAUCAUCUCAUCCCGACGUAACACGGGAACGGCGGCUUCACUGAAAUUAGAUCUGCAUUUGCGUUUGUUUUGCUUCAUCUCCUUAUUUCUAAAUCUGCAAUAAUGGA
Molecule: long non-coding RNA, 199 nt
Filed under: Arabidopsis lyrata
Lineage: Eukaryota; Viridiplantae; Streptophyta; Magnoliopsida; Brassicales; Brassicaceae
Description: long non-coding RNA (ALYR_LNC001009)
Source: RNAcentral